Molecule: long non-coding RNA, 9318 nt
Filed under: Nicotiana benthamiana
Lineage: Eukaryota; Viridiplantae; Streptophyta; Magnoliopsida; Solanales; Solanaceae
Description: long non-coding RNA (NBEN_LNC036149)
Source: RNAcentral
UUGCAAGCUUUUCUCUCUUAAUUUUUUAGCUAGUUCAACACUUGAUCGAUAUUGGAAGUUGAAAUCUAUAUUCUUCAUUGGACUUUGAGCUUUGUUUGGAUUGAGAACUUUACUCUUAGGAGUUGCCGCUUGAUUCAUCCUACAAAUAAAAAAAAUAAAUUACUUUAGCCUAACAAAAGAUAUAAUUAAUCAUAGUAUUACUAUCAAAAAAUUAAAUUACUUUAGCCCAAAUAACAUGGGUAUUGACACUGAAACAGUGAAAGAAAAAGAAAAAAGAAGAAGAAAAAGAAAAAGAAAAAGAAGAAGAAGAAAAGUAGGGGGGAGGGGGAGGAAGAAAUCACAUAGCUGGGACAAAACUUGAUGAUCUUGAAUUUAAAAAAAAGAGAGCUUUUUUAAUUAAUUAACACUGGCAGUGCAGCUAUCAAGAGAAGUGCUUGCUUCUGUCGCUUUGCUCGCUUCCUCUCUUCUUAUUUUUUCAGGGAAAGCGAUCGCUUUUCUGUACUUGAUAUGCUUUAGAUUAGAGAAGCGUCGGAUGCCUCGCUUCGCAUCACUUAUCGUUUUAAGAAUGGAAGCGGUCGCUUUUAACAACACUAUUUCCAACAAUUAUAGAAUAUGGAGGAUGGAAUUGUGCAUUCUAUCAUCGUCAUGCAUAUCCUGGGAUUAGCAAGAAACCUAUACUGAACUGAAGCUUGGUUCACGAUGCUAUAGAACAGUUAUGUUUGUAUCCUUUUCCUAUUUAAGAAUUACAAGUUGGUAUUCACAGUAGACUACAAUGGUUAUUUCAACAAUAAAUAUGGGAACUGGACAUAAUAUGCACCUGAGGCAUGGGGAAUGUACUCCUAAUGUUACUAUUUCACUUGCUGAAGCCUCAUAUGAGCUAUCGUAGUUCACAAUAUUUUUUUUACUUUUUCAUAAGAUAUUCCUUCAGCAAAGAAAGUAAAUUUCGGCGCAUGAUAGUUAUCUAUAGCAACAGCUAAUGCCGGGGGGUGGGGGAGUUGAGUUGUGGGGCUUUGCACAAACAUCAUUCUGCACCCCUCUGCCAGACACCAAUAAGGCUCACAUUAGGCUCAAAAGAGACUCAUUGUUGUGUGUUGCUGUGGCGGAAUCGAUCUAGAAAAGCUACAUUUAUUUUCAGAUAGUGGCCCUAUUUGCAAGAACUAGAAUAACUUCUGUAACACUGCAGGUGCAACAUUGGCAUAGUUCCCUCCCUCAGACAUGUUCUAUCCAAUUGCCGAUUAACAAGGCCAAAGAAUAGAACACUUUAGAUGAAUGUUAUAGGUCAGUCCAUCGAUACUUUGUGGGUAUGUGGCAAGCUAGGUGAAAAAUCAAAUACGAUAAGAAAACUCGACGAAAAUAAUGGAUCAAACCUAAGGUAAGUCUCCAAAAAUAGAUAAUCGGGUCCCUACUUAGAUUUAUCUUUUUCCAAAUAUUGGAGAAAGUAUCUUAUUCAAAUGAGCAGAAGAGAUUAACCAAAAGUUUCAGUAGAAAUGGUCAUAUGAGAGAAACCCCCAAGAUUAAAGCUACAAAGUUUAUGAAAGAUGCCGAGAAAUGGGGAAGAAUAAACAAUUCCAGAGCAUAUAUAAAUGAACAAAGUUACAAAGAUACCUGUUAAAUAUAUCUUAGUUCCUUAAGGCUUGUUAGUCUAAUAUCUUCUUUAGUUGCAUGUGCACCACUUGAUAAUAAAAAACAAAUAUGUAUAUACUUUAAAACUUGCUCCAAUACUCCAGGUAAUAGUACAGUACAAAUUCUGAAGCAUAAUUUCUAUUUACUCACGUUCACUUAAACUAGAGGAAAAAUUCUCGAUCCACCUAUAAUACAAUAGGGUUCCUUAGAAGGGAGACAUUGAAUAGCAACUCAAGUAAUUUCUAGUAAUACCAAUAGGGACACAUUAAAAAUACAUGAGCAAUGAAAUAUAUGUGCACAUCAAAGAAAUCGAUAAGCAAGAAAAUAUUCAAUAUUGAACUUGAGGAAAUAGACAACAUCAAUUUAAAACUAAAGCAACAGUCUUUAAUGUGUUUCUAUCUAUUAAUAAAAAAUGGCUAAGCUAUUUUCUAUUUGAAUAAAAAAAAAACUCAUGAUGUGUCUUCAAAAUCAAACUCUUCAUCCGAUUCAAUUUCAAGUUGUUGUGCUAGCAAUCCUUCUGGAGGUACAUCAAGAAUGGUUGCUGGAACAUCACUCCUUACUAUCUAUUAAUAAAAAAAUGGCUAAGCUAUUUUCUAUUUGAAUUAGAAAAAAAACUCAUGAUGUGUGUUCAAAAUCAAUCUCUUCAUCCAAUUCAAUUUCAAGUUAUUGUGCUAGUGAUCCUUCUGGAGGUAUAUCAAGAAAGGUUGCUGGAACAUCACCCCUUACAAAGGCAACUUCACCAUUAUCCUCAAGGUAACCUGCCAAAUAUUCAGAUGGCUCAUUUUCAUAACACUGUGGGGCAUUAGCUUCAAGUUCAUCACUUAUGCUAAACAAGUCUCUUGGGACAGUCUUCAUGAAAUAAUAUCUAUCUCUAUCAUAUAGAUCUUGCACGUAGAAGCAUUGGUGUACUUGAGAUGCUAGGACAAAAGGCUCGUUCCGAUAAGAUUUCUUGUUGAAGUAGACAUAAAUAAGGCCAUAAAUAUCCUCUUCAACCACAUAGCAGUCACACUUAAAUAAGACAAUACUAAAAUGUACAUAAUAGUCUAACUCAACUAUAUCAACUAUUCUACCAUAAAAAUUCAAAUUUACGUCAAUUGGAUUUUUAUCUUUUGAGCUUGUAAAACUUGUAGUUUGAGCGACUAAUGUAACACCACUAAUAUAUUUUUGCAAUUGAAUUUGGUCUGAAGGAUAAUUGCUUUAUAAGAUCGCGCAUAUCCUUUUUCAAAGAACGAGUUUCAAACCAUUGAGAAGUUUUGACUAUACUUCUUGGCCUUGCUCCAUUUAGAUCCUCGUCUCUAAUUACUAAACUCAACUUCAUAUUCUCUAUAAAACAACUAUUUAUAUUUGUUAAUAAAAUGAUAAAUAAAGUAAUUUAAUAACAAUCCACAUAAAUAAAGGCUAUAAGUGAUUAAAUUACAUUAUAUAUUCUUGAACUUCAUCACAAUUGUUCAAUAAGUAUAUAUGUGUCUGAUUUAAUGACAUGUCAUCUAAAACAAUUGGAUCACUCUUUUUUAAUCCUAAAGGACAACCUAUAUUAGGAAACAAACUAGAAGAUUGUACCUUAAUUGAAUUAUAUUCAUCAUUGUUUCGGGAUUGUCGAUUAAAUCGAGUCUUUACACCUCCAUGUAAGUACGUAGAGCAUAAAGUCAAACACUCUUCAACCAAAUAUGCCUCAGCAAUAGGUCAUUGUGGAUAAUUUCUAUUGCGAACAUAUUCUUUUAAUGUAAACAUAUACUUUUCAGGAGGAUACAUCCAUCGAUUUUUAACUGGACCUCCCAACCUUACCUUAUUUGCCAAAAGAAUAGGCAAAUGAAUCAUUAUAUCAAAAAACGUUGGAGGAAAAAUUAUUUCCAAUUGAUUCGUUAUUUCUCAAAUCUCUACUUCCAAGUAAUCUAGCUCUUCCAUUGUGAUAACUUGUUGACAUAAACGGCGAAAGAAAGAACUUAGACGAAUCAAAAGGAUAGCAACAUGAUCAUGAAGUAUGCUUUUAACUGGUAUUGGCAACAAGUAAUGCAACAUGAAGUGAGCACCAUGAGUAUUAUAAUCGGAUAAUUUUCUUCAAUCUAGUUGCGCAAACCUGGAUAUGCUGGAAGCACUACCAUCAGGUAGCUUUGAUGUCUAUAAAACACCACAGAAACUAAUUUCUCACCAUUGGUCAUUGAGAAGCAUGUUUUUGCAAAUUUUGUUCUCUUGCCAUCCUUUGUAUCCUUUGGUUGAAGUUUUUUCCUAAUACCCAUCUAUUUCAGAUCAUAACGAGCAUUUGCAUGAUCCUUUGUCUUGCCAAGAAUAACCAAAGUAGUUCAAAUUACAUUAUCCUCUAUUUUUUUCUCUAUAUGCAUUACGUCAAGGUUAUGACGUAACUAGUUGUACUGCCAAUAAGUUAAUUGAAAAAAUUGACUUUUUUUCCAAGGGAUAUCAUUUGUUCUCUUUUGCUUUUUCUCAAACACAUUGUUAACAUUUUGUAAUCUAUUAAGCACAUCAGUUCCCUUUAACAAAGGCGGAGGAGGCCUACAUUCUAUUUUUCCAUUGAAAGACCUUUUAUUUGAUCUCCAAGGAUGAUCCAUUAGCAGAAAAACACGAUAAUCCAUAUGACACAUUUUUACUAUGUUUAAGAUAGCGAGAAUUAGUGCCAUAAUUACAACAAGGGCAAGCCAACUUUCCCUUUAUAUUCCAAUCAGAUAACAUAGCAUAUGCAGGAAAGUCACUAAUUGUCCAUAGAGGAGUUGCUCGCAUUUGAAAGGUUUGAUCUCUUGAAGAAUCAUAUGUUUCUAUCCCAAACUCCCACAAAACAUUUAUCUCUUCUAUUAAUGGUUGUAAAUAAACGUCAAUGCCAUUUUCAGGUGAUCGUGCCCUAGGUAUAAGCAAAGAAAGCAUACAGUACUCUAGCUUCAUGCACAUCUAUGGAGGCAAAUUAUACACCAUUAAUAUAACUGGCUAUGUGCUAUGAGAUAUGCUCAUGGUACUAAAUGAAUUGAACCCAUCACUUGGUAAGCCAAGUCUCAAAUUGCGAGAAUCCAUUGCAAAUUCUGAAUGCAAGCUAUCAAAGUAUUUCCAUGCUUGCCCAUCAGCAUGAUGCCUUAACUUUCCAUCUAUAGAGUGCUCCUCGUCAUGCCGCCUCAAGGUAUCUGCUGUCUUUGAGCACAUAAAUAGCAUUUUAAGUCUAGGAAUUAAUGGGAAGUGUCUCAAAAUUUUUGCUGGAACACGAUAACCUUUUUUGGAAGCCUCAAGAUCGCUAUAUAUUUUAUCGCUAUCUACUUCAGGAUAUUUAAUAUAUCGAGAUUAUCCACAAAUAUGACAAUAUUCAUCCUCCUUAUGGUCAUUCCUAAAUAGCAUGCGAUCAUUAAUUUUUUAUAAUCAAGACCGAGAUCUUUUACGAUAGAUUUGGCUUUAUUUUAGGACAUAGGAAUGAUCAAGUCAUGCAUUGCCUCUUUUAAUAGCUCUAAAAGAGAAGUGAAAGACGCAUUGCUCCAUCAAUAUAAACACUUCAACAUAUACAGGCGGAUUGAAAAAGAUAAUCUCAAGAAUCCUUUACAACCAGGAUAUAGUUCUUGGCGUGUCUCAACUAAAUUAUAGAAUUUAUUGGCAUCUUCAUUUGGGCCUUCAUACACUCCUCCAACAUGUGCAACAUUUCUAAAUUGAUCAUUCAACAACCCAUCAAUAUCAUCGUACCAGUAAACAUUAUCAUCCAUGUCACAAUUAGCGUUCAUCAAAAUUUUUCAUUCCCCAUGAUUAAUCCAUCUUGUAUAAUCUUGAAAAAACUCAUAACAUAUUAGAUGGUAAUACACUACAUUCCAUUAAGUCCAGCAAAUAUUACAACACUUUGCACAUGGGCAUUGAAUUUCUUCGCCAUGAGGAUCUCCAUAAGAGUAAGAAAAAUCUAAGAAAGAUUAUCCACCCUCGAUAUACUCUUUUCUAUACCUUGGUAAAUCCAUCCAUUCCUUGGAUGGAACAUUUGAAUUCCUAAUAAUAAAAUAUUUAAGCAUUAAUUAUAAGGUUAAACUAAAUCCUAAAUGUCAAGAAUAAAUUUGUAAAAUCAUGUGUUGUAAAAUGAUAGGACUUUCUUACUUAGACAUGACACUUACGCUAAGCCAAAUACAACUUUAAGUCCACCACAAAUCUUCUCGAGCGUGACUUAUCUUCUUGGAUAAAAAAGGUAAAAUUAGGAUCUACAAAACAAAGACAGAAAGCAAUAAAAUUCCAAACCACGUUUUUCUUAAAGAUAAUAUAAUAGUUCUUCGCACCAAAAAGUUUCAUGUGCACUUUGGCAAAUAUAGUGACGCCUAAAAGGUGUUUUAUUCAUACAAAUAUUAUAUAAGAAAAAGACGUUAAGAUAUAAAAAUAUAACUAGCUAUUUCUGAUUUCGUCAACUCAAAAGAAUAAACUAGAGAACUAGUCAUAUUUUAAAAUUACUAAAAGGAAACUUUGAUAGAACAAUUUACCACAUUACAUUUUGACAGAACAAUUUGCAACCAUAAAUAACUAAUAUAUAUGAACUCUUAUACUCAAAAAAGUAAUUAUUUUACCAUGGAGAGGAAAACCAAAACUCAACAAACAGCCCCUAAUCGUAAUACAAAGCAGUCCUACACAUCACAACUGUUGCAAAAAAAUUCUGCCGCUAAGUUUGAGUUAUGCCCAGUAACAUUUGAUCAUGGAGAGCCAACUGUAGAGUUCACCAUGGAUGAGGUUAACGAGUUAAUAAAAAAAGAAGGACUGUAUGAAACAAUUAAUGCAAAAAGAGCUGGUCAAACAAUGGUUUUAAAUUCAGGACUAAGAUAUAUGAACUCCUGUACUCAAAAAAUAAUCAUUUUACCAUGAGAGACAAACCAAAAAAAAUAAAAAAACAACCCCUAAUCAUAAUAAUAGUCCUACACAUCAUAGCUGUUGCAAAAAAUUCUACCGCAGAGUUUGAAUUAUGCCCAGUAAGUUUUGAUCAUGGAGAGCCAACUGUAGAGUUCGCCAUGGAUGAGGUUAACGAGUUUACAAGAGAAGACGGACUGCAUGAAGCAGUUGUAAUGGAAUUCUCAUAUGGAAAACCUGAGUUACAAAAGAUUUUUGUCGCAAUUUGAUGUUCAAGGUCGCUGCAAUAUUGGAGUGCUGUAGUUUCAUCAUCUUUUGAUUAGAUUUGAUCUCUUCAAUGCUUAUGUUAAGUUCUUAUCUAGAUCAACUGGAUAUGUCAAGGCAAAAGGUGAGGAAUUAUUUUUCAGAUUUUUUCCUUGGGCGCUAGGAUUAAUCCAAAAGAGAAAAUUUCCAUUACAAUUGCGUGGAUCUCUUUUCCAGGCUUAACGCCUAAUUUCUUUGCGAAGAAGUCGUUAAUGUCUAUUUCUUUAGCUGUUGAUAAAGAUCUUGCUGUAGACAAGGAGGCAAGAAAAAACAUGACCUAGUUCCGCUAGGGUCAAGGUAAUCCUUGAUUUGCUCGACAAACAUCCUAAGAAGGUUAAGCUACAGAUUAUGGACAGAAUCUCGGGUAAAAUAAUUGUGCUUUACCAGGAGGUGAUAUAUGACAAUCUUUCAAAAUAUUGCACUUAUUGCAAGUAUCAAGGACAUGACUAAAAGGUAUGUCGAAUUAUGAAAGAACAAGCAGGAAUGGAAGUGGUAGCAGGGGAAAAACAAGGGCAACGUCUCAAGGUGAUCGUGGUUUAGUCGAGGCAGAUUGUUCAGUUAUGGAAAAACUACAAGGCGAUGCUAGGGAAUACCUUAAUGCAAAAAGAGCUGGCCAAACAAUUGUUUAAAAUUCAGAGGGUACCAGAAAUAAUGGGCAGCAACAGAUUUUAAACAAAUCUGAAAUAUCAAAAAAUGUUGCUAUUGCUCCUGCCGAUCGUGCUUUAGCUAGGGUGUCUCAAAGUAUGGAUGUGGAGGCAGGAAAUAGGGUGUUGAAUGGUCGAGGGAAUGACAGUGAUAAAGGGACAGUAGCAGGAGAUGUGGUUACUAAUGACAAGCCAAGUGAUGCUAUGGCUGUAGUAGAUGUUGCUAGGCAGUUUGCUGAUAACCAAAAACUGGAGGCUGGGAAAAAUCGACUUGAUAAUGUGGAUCCUAUAGGAAUUCGAACAAAUUUACAAGAAGCCUUUGAAAAGUCCUAAUGUUAUGGGAACUGGUCUUACUGUUACAUUAGGGGGAGAGGAUGUAGCAGGUUUUGAGCAGAAUGAUCUUGAGGUGCAGCUAAUAGAGAGAACAAAGGGUGCAGGACCAUCUAAAACUCCAAGAGAUACAAAGGAUGCAACUGAUGCAUCAAGGGUUGGAACUGACGGAGCAACCAAUCUAAGCAUGCAACAGUAGCAGUUGAUGCUGGACAAGAAACAGCUACUGUUGGUUCUAAGCUGGAGGCAACUGUCGAUAGACAUUUUGUUGGGAUUGGCAAUCCUAAUGCUGCAAUUGUCGUUAAAUAACAAGUUGGAACAUCAGAUUCAAUGGAUGUGAGUUUAAUUUUAAAGGCAGCUAAUGUUGUGGAUACAACUGGUGUAACUUUUUCUGUAGGUACAACUACUGUAGAUGUAUCUAUUGCUACCUUAGUUCUAGCUAAAAUUGCUUCAAAAACUACUAAUGCUGGAAAAGAUACAAAGGAUGCUGGGAAGCAUACUAUUAAGGAUAAUUGGACAACAAUUUCUAGCAAAAAAGGCACUCCAAAAAGCAAAAAACUGUUGCGGAUUGCAAGAGAUAAUCCAGGUGCACGAAAAAUUCAAAUCCUUUUGAUGCUCUUGGCAAUGUGAAUGAUGAUGGUUAGAGGAACAUACAUCAGGUUAAUCAAGAUUUAGCUUCAGCAACUACUAGGCUGUCGAACUCUUGAGGUAAUGAAAAGCAACAUCAGGUCACCAAGAAUGCAGAUGGUCAAUCAAAAACAGAUUUUUCUCUUGUCACUGUUGACGAGCAAAUGACUAGAGCAAAUGACGAGAAAAAACCCUACACCUUCCUCCGCUCCCCCACCCCACAAAAUAUCACUAAGAAAUCUCAAAUAUUCAAAGAAUGAAUAAUGUACCAUGCACUUCUAGUAUUCUGAGGCGCGACCGGCAUGGUAAGAGAACAAAUUAGCCUAAGACAUAUUGUACGUUCGAUUAAUCAACAAAAAUAGGACAAUAAAAUAAUAACAAAGCCGAUUUGUAGAAUUAGGCUCACAAAUCUGCUAGGAUUUGAAAAUAAAUUACUUAUUUUGGAGACUAGAAGAGGAAUAAAAAAUUUAUAGUUCAUUCUUUUAUGGAAUAAGGACAAAUUAGAUAUGAAACUACACCAAUCACAGACCAUAAGAUGGUAAAAAUAUUGAAAUAGAAGAGCACUAACUUGAGAUUGGAAGAAUUUCCCGUUUCUCUUGCAUUAUAAAUUUCUUCAAUCUGGAACGAGGACUGCUAGAAGGUGCAAAAUAGUACCUAACAGAAAGGGAAAACCAGAAUUCUUCCAUUGAGACAAUAGUUUGAAAACAUAAACACUACCCAAGGUAGGGUGAGAAGGUGCUUAAUUAAUAGUACCUAAUCCCGGUGCAGAAAUUAAGAGUAAGUUCCCAGCCAGUGUAGAAAUUAGCAGAAAUUCUAAUUCGCCAGUCUCCAUGCUAGAAGCAAGAAACCAUAACUAUGUAUCAACAUAGUUUUUAGCGAGGAGAGAGAUCUUUUUGUCCUUCUGAAAUUGAAAAAUUAAUAUUUCACCUAGACCUAGAGUAUAUUGGAGAGAACAUUAUCUUUUUUUGAGGGAAUAUUAUUUUAGCCAAAUAUU